Cladobotryum mycophilum is the source of this 92-nucleotide non-coding RNA. The record is from the annotation of a GenBank genome assembly. NCBI's taxonomy places the organism in Eukaryota, Fungi, Ascomycota, Sordariomycetes, Hypocreales, Hypocreaceae.
UGCCGUAGCGAGGACUCGAACCUCGGUUUGCAGUGCUUCAAACGCUCGUGGUGGGCCACAAACUGCUGUCCUAACCCCUAGACGACUACGGC